AUGGCCGUGUCACGCUCCGGCGCGGCGGGCGUGGCCGCCGGCGGCGACACGACCGACGACGCCGACCGAGCGCGGCUGCACCAGCUCGGCUACAAGCAGGAGCUCAAGCGCGGCCUCUCCCUCAUGUCCAACUUCGCCUUCUCCUUCUCCAUCAUCUCCGUCAUGGCCGGCGUCACCACGACCUACAACGGCGGGCUGCGCUACGGCGGGCCGGCGUCCAUGACGCUCGGGUGGCUGGUGGUGGCGGCCUUCAACGGCUGCGUCGCGCUGUCCAUGGCGGAGAUCUGCUCCGCCUACCCGACCUCCGGCGGGCUCUACUACUGGAGCGCCAAGCUCGCCGGCAAGGAGUGGGCGCCCCUCGCCUCCUGGGUCACCGGCUGGUUCAACAUCGUCGGACAGUGGGCUGCUACCACGAGCACGGACUUCUCCCUGGCGCAGCUGGUCCAGGUGAUCAUCUUGCUCGGCACCGGCGGGGCCACCGGCGGCGGGUACACGGCCUCCAAGUACGUCGUGCUGGCCAUCCACGGCUUCUUCCUCGUCCUGCACGGCCUCAUCAACAGCCUCCCCAUCCGCUGGCUGUCCUGGUGCGGCAAGCUCGGCGCGUUCUGGAACACGGCGGGCGCGUUCACGCUGGUGAUCCUCAUCCCGGCGGUGGCCAAGGAGCGGGCGAGCGCCAAGUUCAUCUUCACGCACUUCAACGACGACAACGGCAUGGGGAUCCACGGCAAGGCCUACAUUCUCGCCCUCGGCCUCCUCACCAGCCAGUACUCUCUGCUCGGCUACGACGCCUCCGCUCACAUGAUUGAAGAGACGAAGAACGCGGACUGGAGCGGGCCGAUGGGGAUCAUCAGCUCGGUGGCCCUGUCGACCACGUUCGGGUGGAUCUUCCUGGUGGCGCUGACGUCGAUCGUGACGGACAUCCCGUACCUGCUCAGCCCGGACAACGACGCCGGGGGCUACGCCGUCGCCCAGGCCCUGUACGCCGCCUUCGACAGGAGGUACGGCAGCGGCGUGGGAGGGCUGGUCUGCGUCGGGGUAGUCGCCGUCGGCAUCUUCUUCGCCGGCGCCAUGUGCAUCGCCAGCAACUCGAGGAUGGGGUACGCCUUCUCGAGGGACAGGGCGAUGCCGCUCUCGCGCGUGUGGCUCCGCGUCAGCAAGAACGAGGUGCCCCUCAACGUCGUCUGGCUCUCCGUCGUCGUCGCCUUCGUCAUGGCCCUCACGUCGCUGGGGAGUCAGGUGGCGUUCCAGGCGAUGGUGUCGAUCGCGACGCUGGGGCAGUACAUCGCCUACGCGCUGCCCAUCUUCUUCCGGGUGACGACGGCGAGGAGGUCGUUCGUGCCGGGGCCGUUCCACCUCGGGAGAUACGGGGUCGCCGUCGGCUGGGCCGCCGUCCUCUGGGUGGCGUUCCUCACCGUGCUCUUCUCGUUGCCGGUGGCGUACCCGGUGGCCAAGGACAACUUCAACUACACGCCGGUGGCCGUCGGCGGCGUGCUGCUGCUCAGCGUCGGCGCAUGGGUGGUCAACGCCAGGUUCUGGUUCCAGGGGCCCAUCACCAAUGUCGACUUGUAG
Molecule: ribosomal RNA, 1569 nt
Filed under: Triticum aestivum (bread wheat)
Lineage: Eukaryota; Viridiplantae; Streptophyta; Magnoliopsida; Poales; Poaceae
Description: partial small subunit ribosomal RNA
Source: RNAcentral